RNAcentral lists this long non-coding RNA (4671 nucleotides) under Gossypium barbadense (sea-island cotton). Its description in RNAcentral is "long non-coding RNA (GBAR_LNC017801)". The record is from RNAcentral. Lineage: Eukaryota; Viridiplantae; Streptophyta; Magnoliopsida; Malvales; Malvaceae.
CCAAACAUAACCACAACAACCAAAACUCAGAUGCGGGUUUUUAAAGAAAAAGAAACGUACGAAGCCUUCUUUCAAAAAUCCGAACAGUGGAGAGCGGCGGAAGAGGAUGAGGAACAACAUACUUUAAAAGCAAGCCAAUCAGACGGGUAGAACUGGAGAUCAGAGAAGGUAUAUUUCGAACUUUAGAACUUAGAAAGGAAUGUCGUAGAGUGUUCAACUUGGCUAAUCGGAGCUCCUGUGUGGGGGAGUACGGUGACACCGUCGCCAGAUUUUUUGCAUCAUGGGCGGCAGAGAUAAAAGAGAGGUAGAGAAUUUUUCUUCUAGUUUGAAGGUUAAAAAUGAAAUUAAAGAAAAAAAAACUUUUAUCAUGAAAGGGGUAAGACCCUACAGCCGCACCAUCACUUUUUUUUUCUUUUACAUUUUUUACUUUUUUAAGGAUUAAAUUACCCAAAAAUGUCGUUUUUUUUAAUUACUGAAAUAUAUCGAUUUUUGAAAUAUUUACGAGAAUAAGUCGAUUUAGAGAAAAACACUUUCAAUUAGAAGCUUUUUUAGGGGAAAUCUAGAAAAACGCUUCCAAGUGGAAGUGCCUUUUGCGUGUCACCAGUUAAACGCUUCCAACUGAAAAUAUUUUCCUCAUGUUAUAUUAGGGUUUUUAGUGUGUUAUGGUUUAGGGUUAAGGUUUUAAAGUAGGGUUUAGGGUUUUAAAUUUUAAAUUGAUAAAAAUUUUAACAUAAUAAUUUUGGAUGUUUCGUUUUUUGGGUAAUGGAGUUCGAUAGACUGUGUACACUUGAGAUAUAGGACUUGCGACUGUGGGAGAUUUGAUGCAUUUCGUUUUCCAUGCGCUCAUGCAAUUGCAGUGUGUAGAAAUUAAUGUUUGGGUUUUAUGAGUUUUGUGGACGAAGUGUACAAAUUAGAAAACUUGUAUAACGUGUGGAGACACGUAUUCCCACCAGUCCCAAAUGAACGUAUGUGGCUGUCUGUAUUGAGCGCUCUGUUUAAGUUGUUAUCUAAUAGGUCAUUACGUCACGAACCAAAAGGUUGAUCGACGCUGCCUCAAAUACUUGACAACAUGGAUAUUUGGAACAUGUCAAACCAAUCGAGGUUAUGUGGGUGGUGUCGAAAUUUGUGACAUACAAUGUUGUUAUGUCCACAUUGAAUGGACGAUGCAAACUAAAAGACAAAUAUCAAUUCUAUUGUAAUAUGUAAACGUGUGGUUCUAUAAAAUGAUAACAAUUAUCAACUUUCAUUUUGUGACAUGAUAACAAAUUACAAGUUUAAUUUUUUGAAAUGAUAAUAAAUAUCAACUUUAAUUUUGUUAAAUGAUAAUAAUAUUUUUUUUAAAAACAUAAUAAUAAAAAUCAUCGAUACAAUAGAAACGUUCGAUACAAUGAUAAAAUUAAUUAGUCCAGAUAUUGGUCAAAAUCUACUCCAUAUUGAGGUGGUCGAUGGUUGCGCCCUGGAUUCCUUCUUGGUUCAUCUUCUGGAUAGGGUUGUGGUCUCGGUAGCUCCUCUUUUUUACCUUUAGUCGAUUGCAACCCUUGCAUUCUCAGUUGCCAUUGUUCAUCCUCCGGUCUAGGAGUAGGUGGUUGAGAAAGUAACCCAGCUUGGUAGAACAAAGAUCCUGGAGGUGUUUGCAUUAUAAACGGCGAAUGAGCAUAACUAUGUUAAGUCCCAUACAUCAAUGGGAUAACAAGUGAACUCUUUGUCAGUGCCUGAAACAUAGACGACCUAUACAUCAUUGUCGACGUCAGAAAAGUAGAUGGAAUAGGCGUGUAAUGCAUCGGGGAUAGAUGUCUAAAAGUCCAACUUGAUAUAGGACUAGAAGCAGAAACAUGUGGUGAAUAUAUGGUGCUUGUGUGAAGAUGAUAGAGUUAGAAUACACACCAGAAUAAGACGGUACAUACUGACCGGUGGGUGGUGUGGGCAUCAGUUCUACGACCGUCAAUGCUAGACCGUAACAUGUACUCCGGAUCGCAUGCUAACUUUGAAACGAUAAUAGGUUUGCGAGUAAGUAAGAAAUCAUAUCGAUUAUUCCACAUGUUGAUAUGUUGGGAGUGAAAUAUUGGUCAAUUCUCAUCCGGUUGCCGCAAGUCGAUAGAAUGCAGAUCAUUAAGGUCUUGAGGUGCCACAGGAAUUGAUUAUCAGAAUUCGAACUGUAGCAACACUCUAUCGGUCUCGUGGAUCUCGACGGUAGUAUACAUUACCAAUAGGACUUUCACAUGUCAGGUGUUGGGAUUCACAAAGAAUUCAUUGGAAUGAUUAGUUAUAUAUUGACAUGACAAAAAUAUUAGUUAUAUAUAUACUAUUAAAUACGAAAUUGACUAUAUUAAUAUUAUAUAGUUCAAAUUUAAAUAAAUAGAUACCUCUGCUUUUGAUCGUUGGUCUAAUAGAAGCCGUAUAUCUUGAAGCUCAGUAGGUAAUCCUAAGUGACUCGGCACAUGGUUUCACCUAUUUAAAUAAUUUAUUAGCAUAAUAAGUUUAAUUUAAAUCAAUAUUAUUAUUAAAAUAUCUAUUGAAUUUUACCUUGUUAGGAGUGAGAAUGUAUACGAGCAAUUUGCUCAGGGAUGUAAAAAUAGAAAUUGGUUUUGCGCCCAUGAUUGCAGUAGUAAAAUGCAACCACCAAAUUUGAUUUUUCCUAGUUGUGUCGCCCGACACAUAAAGAUGUACGCCUGAGUGUAUUGUUCUCUUUGGACUUCAGCCGAAUCCUUAUUGAGCCACCCAAUUUUUUUUAACCAAUUCAUGUUUAUCCGGGCUCUAUAAAUCGUUUUCAGAAUUCUCCCCAAAAGUUGCUUGUAUACGUCUCUCCAAUUGGUUGUGUGAACUGACCCAGUCUAUAACGCUCUGAAUUAUUUAUUUUUGUUUCUGCGAAAUCUAUUACAUGUAUCUGCUUCAGUGGUUAAGUGAUUUGAGGGUGUAUUUGAUGUAUUGGGUUCAAGUUCCACUUUUAGCAAUUUUGUUAUUUUUUUAUCCUAACCUUAUCCCUUUUGGUUGGGCUUAUGUUAUAUUUUCUAUGAACUCAUAUCAGACUGAGCCUGCUAGUUCAAAUGGUAAGGUGUUAGCCUACUUGAAGAUCUCGUGUUUGAAUCCCUUCAUGAGCGUGGAUGAUAAUUUUUGCUUCGGUUGUGUGAUAGAGGUUAGGUGGAAGUGAAAUUCUGGGGUAGUUGAAUGUGGUUAGUGGGUAGGAUUUGAGGGAUAAGGUGUUAGUGGAUGGAGUGAGGAAUUGUUUAAUUUUAAUUUAAUUUAAUUUUUUUUCUAAAAUUCCCUUUAUCUGACGUUUUUUUUCUCUUCUCUAUUUUCUCUCAUGAGUAAAUUUAUUUUCUCUCCAUCCUUCAAUCAUUGAUUUUGAUUAAACCGUGUGUUUUUCUUGGUUGAUCGGUAUUAUGGUGCAUCUGUCGCUUUCUUCUGUCCUAAUUUUUUAUUGUGAUUUGAUUUGGUAUGUUUGGGUAGGUGUAGUUAUUACUUUUGCUUGGUGAUUCUUUAUUGAUGGUUCUUGUUAAUGUCGUUUAGGGGAAGAUCAAAGGGUUCAAGAUUGUUCGUUGGUGGCUCAGUUGCAUGGAACUACCAUUGUUCGAUUGAUGGCAAGGGUUUGGUUGUAUAAUGGAUUGAACGGAUCGACUUGGUUUCGAUUUUAGUAUCGAUUUAAGCGACUAAUUCGAUGAUUUAUUAGUCAAUUUUAAGUUCUAGUUAUCUUGUGGGAGCAUUCGCGAUAAAUCUGAAUUAGGUGUGUAAUGAAAACACGAGAAAAUAAGGUUCAGCGAAAGUAAAAAAAUGGCCUGUUGACGCCACACGGGUGUGUACGGCACAUGGCUCUGUGACGGGCGAGUGUGUGGUCGUGCGGGUCACACGAGCUAGGUUGAUCUGGGUGUGUGGACCUACGCGGACGUGUAAGCUACACGGGCAAUGCUAAUUUGGGCGUGUGGGCCACAAUGGCAUGUGGGCCCAAAAUUCUAAAAAUUUUCGUAGGGUCACAUAUGUCAUGCCGAUCAGCUGUGGGCCUUCUGUAGGUUCGAUAAUGGCAAAACAAACCCUGAUGCAUGUGAUCAGCUAUUCUGAAAAACUGAUUUGAGUUAGAAAAAUCGAUUUGUAUGUUUGACUUUUUAGUAUAUGCAUCUAUAAUAUCUGUAUGCGAGCAUGUGAGUUAUGUUAACUCUGUUAUAUCUGUAUAUCAAUAUUCUAUAUCUGUAUUUGGGGGGAUUUGUAUUUGUGGAGGAAGUGUUCUAUGAGGCGACAUUUCGCCAUUAUUCUGGCAGCUCAGCUGCAAACUAUUCUGAUCAAUGUCAUACGGACACUAUGUGGUGUAUAGGGCUGGGUGAGUGUUUAAUACCCUACGUGGUGUAUCGGGAUGGACGGAGAUAGUGUGUAGAGGACGAGGGUAGGAUUUUGCAUAUUUGUUUGAUUUUGUUGAUCUGAUUCUGUUGAGGACAAAUGUCUGUAUCUGUAUCUAUAUCUGUUCUGUAUACAAAAAACUUGAGUUUAUGUGCAUGUACGACUCUGUUUAGUUACACACUAAGUUUAUAAAAACUUACAUCUGUUUGUCUGUUCUGUUUAGGUAAUCCUCAGACAUAGACGGGUCGGUGCGAUGGAGUCUCAGUGGUGACCUCUAGUUCAAGAAUUGGUUUAAUUAAUAGUUUUAUUUAAAUGCUGUAUUAUUUUGAGAGUUUGUAAUUUUUG